Molecule: long non-coding RNA, 895 nt
Organism: Bos taurus (domestic cattle)
Lineage: Eukaryota; Metazoa; Chordata; Mammalia; Artiodactyla; Bovidae
Source: Ensembl
CUCUUAAAAUGUGUUGGGAGAGGCAUAAAGGUGAACUUAAAAAGAAUUCUGAAAAUAGUGAGAAGUGGUAUCUCAUCCUUUCUUUCUUGCCUCUCCCAUUAAGAAAGAAGCUUCCCAAAGAGCAAAAGAGUGUAUUUUGUAACAAAUCGCUGGCCACAGGCAUUAGUUUCUGCCAGUCAAUAAUGUGUUAAUAUACUGCAUAUUUAGAAAACAAAAUGAAACCAACAAUUAUGGGAAGAGGAAAGAAAAGCCUACAACAAAUGAACUGAUUGUAUUUCAAGUGAAUUCUACUUCUGUAGUGAAGAAGAUAAAAACAAAAUGAAGAACUAAUCCAAGUAACUUUCGAGCACAGUGUUGGACUGGACCCCUGCCGCCUUGGGAUUGAACAAAUGAGGGAAUAUAUUAAUGUUGUUGGGAGCCGAGGACCAGUGCCUGCUUGAGACACAUAAAGGAAUGGUCACAGGGAAAGAGCUGUUCCCCUGAGCCUAACAUCAGUUAUGAUUUACAUGGGAAUCAAGACACAAUGAGAGACAGGCAGAGGGACCCACGGAAGAGAAGGCAAUGUGAAGACUGAAGCAGAGAUUGGAGCAAUGCAGGCACAGAUCAAGAAAUGCCUGCAAUAACCAACUAGGAACUACUUUACAGAACAUGGAACUCUGCUCAAUGUUAUGUGGCAGUCUGGAUGGGAGGGGGGUUUGGGGGAGAAUGCAUACAUGUAUAUGUAUGGCUGAGUCCCUUCUCUGUUCACCUAAAACUAUCACAACACUGUUAAUCAGCUAUCAGUUCAGUUCAGUUCAGUCACUCAGUCGUAUCUGACUCUUUGCGACCCCAUGAAUCGCAGCACGCCAGGCCUCCCUGUCCAUCACCAACUCCCGGAGUUCACUCAAACUCACGU